CGGCUUAAGAGUUUGAUCAUGGCUCAGGAUGAACGCUGGCGGCGUGCCUAAUACAUGCAAGUCGAACGCUGAAGAGCUUGCUCAGAAGAGUGGCGAACGGGUGAGUAACACGUGGGAAACCUACCUCUUAGCAGGGGAUAACAUUUGGAAACAGAUGCUAAUACCGUAUAACAAUAGCACCGCAUGGUUGCUACUAAAAGAUGUUCUUAUCACUAAGAGAUGGUCCCGCGGUGCAUUAGUUAGUUGGUGAGGUAAUGGCUCACCAAGACGAUGAUGCAUAGCCGAGUUGAGAGACUGAUCGGCCACAAUGGGACUGAGACACGGCCCAUACUCCUACGGGAGGCAGCAGUAGGGAAUCUUCCACAAUGGGCGAAAGCCUGAUGGAGCAACGCCGCGUGUGUGAUGAAGGGUUUCGGCUCGUAAAACACUGUUGUAAGAGAAGAAUGACAUUGAGGUAAUUCAAUGUGUGACGGUAUCUUACCAGAAGGAACGGCUAAAUACGUGCCAGCAGCCGCGGUAAUACGUAUGUUCCAAGCGUUAUCCGGAUUUAUUGGGCGUAAAGCGAGCGCAGACGGUUAUUUAAGUCUGAAGUGAAAGCCCUCAGCUCAACUGAGGAAUUGCUUUGGAAACUGGAUGACUUGAGUGCAGUAGAGGAAAGUGGAACUCCAUGUGUAGCGGUGAAAUGCGUAGAUAUAUGGAGACACCAGUG
This 709-nucleotide ribosomal RNA is filed under the name uncultured Weissella sp. RNAcentral's name for it is "bacterial SSU rRNA". It matches the Rfam family "Bacterial small subunit ribosomal RNA", at positions 1 to 714 of the family's 1533-position model. The record is from RNAcentral. Lineage: Bacteria; Bacillati; Bacillota; Bacilli; Lactobacillales; Lactobacillaceae.